CUCUUGACAGGAACCCAAAAUGAUCUGCGGGAGGUGAGUGGGCCGGGGGGACUGGAGGGCAUCCAGUCUGGGAACUGGGGGACACUUUGGUCCCCCCAUCCCUCGCUGGCACCGGGGACAUCCCAGUGACCAGCCAGGGCUCCUGGUCUCUCUCCAGCUGCAUUUAGUGGACGUUGGGAUCCUGAAGAUGGCUCAGGCUCCCAAUACAUCCCACUGCACCCAGUGUGUCUCUAAACAUGCCUUUGUCCCCACUCCCCUGUGGUGGAGAAGGUGGUGGGUCCUGUUGGUGAGAUGUGGCUGCAUCCCUGGAUGUUUGAGGACUGGUGGUGACACCCGUGCCCUGUCCCACUCCAGUGCCAUGAAGAGAUGAUCAUCCCUGGAG
Long non-coding RNA from Corapipo altera (White-ruffed manakin), 382 nucleotides. RefSeq lists it as uncharacterized. The transcript is spliced from 3 exons. The record is from RefSeq and is a predicted model, not a curated record. NCBI's taxonomy places the organism in Eukaryota, Metazoa, Chordata, Aves, Passeriformes, Pipridae.